GAUGAACGCUGGCGGCGUGCCUAAUACAUGCAAGUCGAGCGAACGGACGAGAAGCUUGCUCCUCUGACGUUAGCGGCGGACGGGUGAGUAACACGUGGAUAACCUACCUAUAAGACUGGGAUAACUUCGGGAAACCGGAGCUAAUACCGGAUAAUAUAUUGAACCGCAUGGUUCAAUAGUGAAAGACGGUUUUGCUGUCACUUAUAGAUGGAUCCGCGCUGCAUUAGCUAGUUGGUAAGGUAACGGCUUACCAAGGCAACGAUGCGUAGCCGACCUGAGAGGGUGAUCCGCCACACUGGAACUGAGACACGGUCCAGACUCCUACGGGAGGCAGCAGUAGGGAAUCUUCCGCAAUGGGCGAAAGCCUGACGGAGCAACGCCGCGUGAGUGAUGAAGGUCUUCGGAUCGUAAAACUCUGUUAUUAGGGAAGAACAAAUGUGUAAGUAACUAUGCACGUCUUGACGGUACCUAAUCAGAAAGCCACGGCUAACUACGUG
This 497-nucleotide ribosomal RNA is filed under the name uncultured bacterium. RNAcentral describes it as "partial 16S ribosomal RNA". It matches the Rfam family "Bacterial small subunit ribosomal RNA", at positions 28 to 507 of the family's 1533-position model. The record is from RNAcentral.